Struthio camelus australis is the source of this 584-nucleotide non-coding RNA. The record is from RefSeq and is a predicted model, not a curated record. NCBI's taxonomy places the organism in Eukaryota, Metazoa, Chordata, Aves, Struthioniformes, Struthionidae.
UGUAGGGGAGAGCCGGACCGCUGACACGAUGCUCUCCCAACGUGUCACAUAACGGCGUGAAACCUACCCUGGCUCUGCUGCAAAAGCAGAGCUCUGCUGGCCCGGGACCCAUUGGGAAUGGGAGAGUUUAAGCAACCCUGAUGAAUGGUGGGCAUAUUGCAAGCGCUCUGUGCAUGCCUGCGUGGAGGAGCAGACUUUGUGGCGAGUUGGGCAGAAACUUUGGUGGUUUCUCUGCCGGGCUGCGGUGUGCCGAGAGCCUCGGAGCGUGUUGUGUUUGAUGGAAUGUUUUCACUGUUCAAAGUUUAGAAAAAAAUGUGGAUGUGAUUAAAAUAUUAUAACCUUAUGAUAUUCUGAAGUGCAUAAAUUUUGCAUAUCAGCUACAGAGGGAGUUUAGACAUCCAUUAAAUGAUAUGACAGCUUGACUUAUCUAAAUGUGCUAUCAUUUAACAAUGUGUCAAAAUUCUUCUUUAUAUAGAUGACAGCAGUAAAUAAGCUAUCAGUCCUCUUGGCUGCAGCUUAAUUCCUCAAGCUUGGACUAAUAAACUGAACUGCACAGUUGUAGCAGAGCCUGUGGGCAGGGUAAC